RNAcentral lists this ribosomal RNA (497 nucleotides) under uncultured bacterium. RNAcentral's name for it is "partial 16S ribosomal RNA". It matches the Rfam family "Bacterial small subunit ribosomal RNA", at positions 28 to 507 of the family's 1533-position model. The record is from RNAcentral.
GAUGAACGCUGGCGGCGUGCCUAAUACAUGCAAGUCGAGCGAACGGACGAGAAGCUUGCUUCUCUGAUGUUAGCGGCGGACGGGUGAGUAACACGUGGAUAACCUACCUAUAAGUCUGGGAUAACUUCGGGAAACCGGAGCUUACACCGGAUAAUAUUUUGAACCGCAUUGUUCAAAAGUGAAAGACGGUCUUGCUGUCACUUCUAGAUGCAUCUGCGCUGCAUUAGCUAGUUGGUAAGGUAACGGCUUACCAAGGCUACGAGGCAUAGCCGACCUGAGAGGGUGAUCGGCCACACGGGAACGUGGACAGGGUCCUUGCUCCUGCGAGAGGCAGCAGUAGGGAAUCGGCCGCAGUGGUCGAAAGCCUUACGGAGCAACGCGGCGUGAGUGAUGAAGGUCUUCGGUUCGUAAAACCCUGUUAUUGGUGAAGAACAUAUGUGGAAGUAACUGUACACAUCUUGACGGUACCUAAUCAGAAAGCCACGGCUAACUACGUG